AUAAUGGCCGAAAAUCUAAGGUUUCUUGGGGAAGGUUCGUCCGCCCAAGGUAAGCCGGGAGCUAAGGCGAGGCCGCAAGGCGUAGUCGAUGCACAUACGGUAGAAAUUCCGUAGCCACCGAACCUUAAACCGGAAGGACACUUUCAGAUAGCAGAACCCAGCCGUUGGUAGAGCUGGGCGAAAGGGACUGAAAUAUAGUAGGGAAGUCUGCGAUGCUGAGAGGCGAGAAAAGCUCCGGUGUAUGCUAAGGUGCCCGUACCGCAAACCGACACAGGUAGAUGAGGAGAGAAUCCUAAGGCCAACGGGAGAAGGGUUGUUAAGGAACUCGGCAAAUUGACCCCGUAACUUCGGAAGAAGGGGAGCCCCGAAAGGGGCCGCAGUGAAUAGGCCCAAGCAACUGUUUACCAAAAACACAGGUUUAUGCUAAAUCGAAAGAUGACGUAUAUGAGCUGACGCCUGCCCGGUGCCGGAAGGUUAAGAGGAGAUGUCAGGAGCAAUCCGAAGCAUUGAAUUGAAGCCCCGGUAAACGGCGGCCGUAACUAUAACGGUCCUAAGGUAGCGAAAUUCCUUGUCAGGUAAGUUCUGACCCGCACGAAUGGCGUAAUGAUUUGGGCACUGUCUCAACAGCCCGCCCGGCGAAAUUGUAGUACUGGUGAAGAUGCCAGUUACCCGCAACUAGACGGAAAGACCCCAUGGAGCUUUACUGCAGCUUAAUACUGAAAUUCGGUAGUACAUGUACAGGAUAGGUGGGAGACUGAGAAAUACAGGCGUCAGCUUGUAUGGAGUCGCUGUUGGGAUACCACUCUUGUACUGCUGGGUUUCUAACCUGCGGCCGUGAAUCCGGUCGGGGGACACUGUUAGGCGGGCAGUUUGACUGGGGCGGUCGCCUCCAAAAGAGUAACGGAGGCGCUCAAAGGUUCGUUCAGCACGGACGGAAAUCGUGCAUUGAGUGUAAACGCAUAAACGAGCCUAACUGCGAGACCGACGGGUCGAGCAGUAACGAAAGUUGGAGUUAGUGAUCCGGUGGUAUGUGAGUGGAAAUGCCAUCGCUCAACGGAUAAAAGCUACCCUGGGGAUAACAGGCUGAUCUCCCCCAAGCGUCCACAGCGACGGGGAGGUUUGGCACCUCGAUGUCGGCUCGUCGCAUCCUGGGGCUGAAUUCGGUCCCAAGGGUUUGGCUGUUCGCCAAUUAAAGC
RNAcentral lists this ribosomal RNA (1196 nucleotides) under human gut metagenome. RNAcentral describes it as "bacterial LSU rRNA". It matches the Rfam family "Bacterial large subunit ribosomal RNA", at positions 1330 to 2594 of the family's 2925-position model. The record is from RNAcentral.